RNAcentral lists this ribosomal RNA (1674 nucleotides) under Aeromonas caviae. RNAcentral describes it as "partial 23S ribosomal RNA". It matches the Rfam family "Bacterial large subunit ribosomal RNA", at positions 1270 to 2925 of the family's 2925-position model. RNAcentral also lists the same sequence under 1 other name. The record is from RNAcentral. Lineage: Bacteria; Pseudomonadati; Pseudomonadota; Gammaproteobacteria; Aeromonadales; Aeromonadaceae.
AUGCUGGAGAUAUCAGAAGUGCGAAUGCUGACGUAAGUAACGAUAAAGGGGGUGAAAAGCCUCCUCGCCGGAAGACCAAGGGUUCCUGUCCAACGUUAAUCGGGGCAGGGUGAGUCGACCCCUAAGGUGAGGCCGAAAGGCGUAAUCGAUGGGAAGCAGGUUAAUAUUCCUGCACGACUUGUAAUUGCGAUGGGGGGACGGAGAAGGCUAGGUGGGCCAGGCGACGGUUGUCCUGGUGAAAGUGCGUAGGUGGUGUUUCUAGGCAAAUCCGGAGACACAACACUGAGACACGAGACGAACGCACCACGGUGCGGAAGCCAUUGAUGCCCUGCUUCCAGGAAAAGCCUCUAAGCUUCAGAUUACAAGUCAUCGUACCCCAAACCGACACAGGUGGUCGGGUAGAGAAUACCAAGGCGCUUGAGAGAACUCGGGUGAAGGAACUAGGCAAAAUAGAACCGUAACUUCGGGAGAAGGUUCGCUCUUGAUGGUGAAGUCCCUUGCGGAUGGAGCUGUCGGGAGUCGCAGUGACCAGAUGGCUGGGACUGUUUAUCAAAAACACAGCACUCUGCAAACACGAAAGUGGACGUAUAGGGUGUGACACCUGCCCGGUGCCGGAAGGUUAAUUGAUGGGGUUAGCGCAAGCGAAGCUCUUGAUCGAAGCCCCGGUAAACGGCGGCCGUAACUAUAACGGUCCUAAGGUAGCGAAAUUCCUUGUCGGGUAAGUUCCGACCUGCACGAAUGGUGUAACCAUGGCCAUGCUGUCUCCACCCGAGACUCAGUGAAAUCGAAUUCGCCGUGAAGAUGCGGUGUACCCGCGGCUAGACGGAAAGACCCCGUGAACCUUUACUACAGCUUGGCACUGAACAUUGAACCUACAUGUGUAGGAUAGGUGGGAGGCUUUGAAGGCGUGACGCCAGUUGCGCUGGAGCCGUCCUUGAAAUACCACCCUUGUAUGUUUGAUGUUCUAACGCAGGGCCCUGAAUCGGGCUCGCGGACAGUGCCUGGUGGGUAGUUUGACUGGGGCGGUCUCCUCCCAAAGAGUAACGGAGGAGCACGAAGGUUGGCUAAUCCUGGUCGGACAUCAGGAGGUUAGUGCAAUGGCAUAAGCCAGCUUAACUGCGAGACGGACAGGUCGAGCAGGUACGAAAGUAGGUCAUAGUGAUCCGGUGGUUCUGAAUGGAAGGGCCAUCGCUCAACGGAUAAAAGGUACUCCGGGGAUAACAGGCUGAUACCGCCCAAGAGUUCAUAUCGACGGCGGUGUUUGGCACCUCGAUGUCGGCUCAUCACAUCCUGGGGCUGAAGUCGGUCCCAAGGGUAUGGCUGUUCGCCAUUUAAAGUGGUACGCGAGCUGGGUUCAGAACGUCGUGAGACAGUUCGGUCCCUAUCUGCCGUGGGCGUUGGAUGAUUGAAGGGAGUUGCUCCUAGUACGAGAGGACCGGAGUGAACGAACCUCUGGUGUUCGGGUUGUCACGCCAGUGGCACUGCCCGGUAGCUAAGUUCGGAAUCGAUAACCGCUGAAAGCAUCUAAGCGGGAAGCGAGCCCUGAGAUGAGUCAUCCCUGACCCCUUGAGGGUCCUAAAGGGCCGUUGGAGACCACAACGUUGAUAGGUGGGGUGUGUAAGCGUAGCGAUACGUUGAGCUAACCCAUACUAAUUACCCGUGAGGCUUAACCAU